GCUUUCUUAGUAUAAAUUAGUAUAAUUGCCUUCCAAGCAAUAGGAUUAAAAAUCAACUUUAAAGAUAGCA
RNAcentral lists this transfer RNA (70 nucleotides) under Entemnotrochus rumphii. Its description in RNAcentral is "tRNA-Gly". It matches the Rfam family "tRNA". From Rfam's summary of the family: Transfer RNA (tRNA) molecules are approximately 80 nucleotides in length. Their secondary structure includes four short double-helical elements and three loops (D, anti-codon, and T loops). The record is from RNAcentral. Lineage: Eukaryota; Metazoa; Mollusca; Gastropoda; Pleurotomariida; Pleurotomariidae.